This 726-nucleotide ribosomal RNA is filed under the name uncultured bacterium. Its description in RNAcentral is "bacterial SSU rRNA". It matches the Rfam family "Bacterial small subunit ribosomal RNA", at positions 1 to 728 of the family's 1533-position model. The record is from RNAcentral.
UAGAGUUUGAUCCUGGCUCAGAUUGAACGCUGGCGGCAGGCCUAACACAUGCAAGUCGAGCGGAUGAGAGGAGCUUGCUCCUUAAUUCAGCGGCGGACGGGUGAGUAAUGCCUAGGAAUCUGCCUGGUAGUGGGGGACAACGUUUCGAAAGGAACGCUAAUACCGCAUACGUCCUACGGGAGAAAGCAGGGGACCUUCGUGGCCUUGCGCUAUCAGAUGAGCCUAGGUCGGAUUAGCUAGUUGGUGAGGUAAUGGCUCACCAAGGCGACGAUCCGUAACUGGUCUGAGAGGAUGAUCAGUCACACUGGAACUGAGACACGGUCCAGACUCCUACGGGAGGCAGCAGUGGGGAAUAUUGGACAAUGGGCGAAAGCCUGAUCCAGCCAUGCCGCGUGUGUGAAGAAGGUCUUCGGAUUGUAAAGCACUUUAAGUUGGGAGGAAGGGCAGUAAAUUAAUACUUUGCUGUUUUGACGUUACCGACAGAAUAAGCACCGGCUAACUCUGUGCCAGCAGCCGCGGUAAUACAGAGGGUGCAAGCGUUAAUCGGAAUUACUGGGCGUAAAGCGCGCGUAGGUGGUUCGUUAAGUUGGAUGUGAAAUCCCCGGGCUCAACCUGGGAACUGCAUUCAAAACUGUCGAGCUAGAGUAUGGUAGAGGGUGGUGGAAUUUCCUGUGUAGCGGUGAAAUGCGUAGAUAUAGGAAGGAACACCAGUGGCGAAGGCGCCAC